CCCUCGAUAGCUCAGUUGGCAGAGCGGAGGACUGUACGGUGAUCCUUAGGUCGCUGGUUCAAAUCCGGCUUGAGGGA
Molecule: non-coding RNA, 77 nt
Organism: Cordylochernes scorpioides
Lineage: Eukaryota; Metazoa; Arthropoda; Arachnida; Pseudoscorpiones; Chernetidae
Source: the annotation of a GenBank genome assembly